Molecule: long non-coding RNA, 750 nt
Filed under: Arabidopsis lyrata
Lineage: Eukaryota; Viridiplantae; Streptophyta; Magnoliopsida; Brassicales; Brassicaceae
Description: long non-coding RNA (ALYR_LNC001717)
Source: RNAcentral
GAGAAUUUGAUCUUGUUCUUGCAAUGAAUGAACAAACCAAAGGUAGAGUAAAGAGUAAUUAUUCAACAUUCAACCAAAAAUAUUAUGUGGUUAGAAGUGCUUAGUUUUUGAAGAGUUGAAGUUAACUUCAGUUAUUGAUGAAUGUUGAUGUUUUGCAGAGGACAUAUUGAAGUCUUUUAAUGUACAAAAUCAAGAGGGAAUUUCCCACCUGAUGAAGAUAAAAAAGUACCGUUAGUGUUUGUUCUUUAGAAAGUUGCUCCUCUAGUUAGGUUAAUAAGCAUCACUUUAGAGCUCAUUUAGUUGUAAGUCAAUAAAGUCACUAUAUAAGGUCGUUUAGGCAAAGAAGUAAACGGGAGUCAUCAUAUGGGGCAGUUAACUCGGUUGGUAGAUGUGGGGCUUAGUUUGCACUUCUCUUAAUGCGUCUUUCAAUUCAAAUGCUUAUAUUCCUGGUUGAUCUGUUUUGUUAGGAGAAAGCUCACAUGGAAACUUGAAUAUUGAUCUCUUAAUUACUUGGUCUACUUGUUUUCUUUGACAGGUACUGGUCUUGGUAGAAGAUGCAUGUGACUGUUUACUGGAUAGUAUCACUACGGCAAGUUGAUGAAAUUGCAAGUUCAAAAUCUUAAUUCCGGAACUAUUAGGAAGACUUUAUGCCUUUAAGAGAAUCCCACAAUCAACAUUUUGGCAAAUUUGAUUCAACAAAGCUGCAUCUGAGAUUUUCUUUGUAAUUGGUUGUGAAUAUUAUGAUAAGUU